GCAGGAACCCAAUCACCGAAACAGAAAAGGAAAAACUCUUGUGCAUUAGUAAUGGACGAAAGGAAGCGAAUUGCCGAAAAUGUUGAACAAGAAAUUAAGGCAAUUAUGGAUGUGUCAGACAAGAAGGAUAAGCAGCGGAUGAAACGUUCAAUAUACCAUAUACCAGCUGCUGUAUCAAUCCCAGACCUGAACAAGCAAGCCUAUCGGCCUCAGGUAGUCUCUUUUGGCCCUAUCUCUACAUUUGGCCCAUUUGGUGAAAUGCAGGAACACAAGGAAAGAGCUUCUGCUCAUUUUCUAAGAAGAUCAGGAAAACCUCUUUCGCUUUUUGUUGAAUCAUUAGCUGAAGUUGUUAAUGAUUUAAGAGAUUCAUAUGGUAUUAAGUACGGAUACAGUGAUAGUAGUGUGCUGCUCAGAUACAGUGAUAGUAGUUUGCUGGAAAUGAUGAUUUUUGAUGGGUGUUUCAUUUUGGAAAUAUUACACUUUUAUUCUGAUACGCUCAAUGACUAUGGUCCUGAUGAUCCAAUCUUUAGCAAACAUGGGAAGCUAUAUAUCAUGCCAUUUAUUAGGCGUGACAUGUUAAUGCUUGAAAAUCAAUUGCCAAUGUUUGUCCUGGAAAAGCUACUUGCUAUUGAAAGAGGCGCAGAAACGGUAUAAUAUAUUGAAUCUCGUUUCACAGAUUUAUACUCUCUGAUGCUUCAAUUCAUUUGAUUGCGUUCAUGCACUCCAAAAACUUGUGUAAAUUUAUGCAGAGUGCAGAGUACAUCAACAAGCUCAUUCUCAAUUUUUUCUUUCCCAACACUUCCAUCUUAGUUCGGGAAAAGUGUGUUCAUGUCCUAGAUGUGUACAGAAGAAGCCUGCUUCAGCAACAAGUAUCGGAGAAAACCCAUUACAGCAUAUCAGAAGAUGUCCAUGAAGAUCAUGACAACGUUUUUAUCAGGUCUGCAACAAAGCUCAAUCAAGCUGGAAUCCAAUUCCAGAAAAGCAAAACCAGAUGCUUGGACGACAUCUCAUUCCAAAGUGGAGUCCUCAAGCUUCCAGUGAUUGUGGUAGAUGAAACCACUGAGUCGAUAUUUCUGAAUUUGAUAGCCUAUGAGAGCUUGCAUGUUCUUGCGGGUACUGAAGUGACAUCUUAUUUCAUCUUCAUGAGAAGUAUCAUUAAAGACAAGCAGGAUGUAGCCCUUCUGCAUUCCAAGGGAAUCAUCCAAAAUGGUCUAGACAGAGACCAAGAAGUGGCUAAAUUGUUCAAUUCUCUUACAAAGAUUUUCGACUCUCUUACUAAGAACAUUAGAUUAGACCCAGAAAGCAAGCUAUAUGCAGUGCAGAAGAAUAUGAUCAAUGCCUGCUGUGAGAAGAGUUGGAAUCAAUGGCCUGCUAAAACAUUUCAGUACAAUUUCAGGAUUAAUCCCGGGCCGAUUCUGUCUCUUGUUACUGCAAUCAUCCUUUUCAUUUUUACUAAUAUAUAUCUUCACUAUCAUAACAAUGAAUCUCCAUGACCCUUUCUUCUUGUUCAUCCUCUACCAAUUCUCUCAAGCUCUCCCCAAAACCAUUAGCUUCAACCCACCAUUGAUUCACAUUGUUCCAACCAUUUGCAAAUGAAUAUGUUUAAGAACUUGUAUUUUAAUACAUAUAAGUUGUUUAUGAAAUGAAUUACUGUGAAUAAUUUCAAAAAUCUGUACUUUGUUUAGA
Molecule: unclassified non-coding RNA, 1686 nt
Filed under: Hevea brasiliensis (rubber tree)
Lineage: Eukaryota; Viridiplantae; Streptophyta; Magnoliopsida; Malpighiales; Euphorbiaceae
Source: RNAcentral